AACACUGCCUUACCUAGCUCUCUUGUGUGCCUUGGUAAUGAAGUGAUACUUCCAUUGCAUAUUUGCACUCUGGAAUUGUUUUUAUUUUACUAUUUAUUUUGCCAUUCCCUUGUUUGAAAACUGUGUAGCAAAUGCUCAAAUUCUACAGUCCUGGGCACCUUGGAAAAUAUCAUUAAAUGAGUCAAACUGGGAAAAUCUAAUGAUGACUCAUUUUCUUUAGCAGAGACUCAGAUAUUUAUAUUUAGAAAGUAUUUGUAACAGCAUUACUCUCUAUUGCGUGUUUAUGUAGAGCAGCAUCCCAACCAGGAGUGAUUUUGCCCCCCCUCCUGGGGACAUUGACAAUGCCUGGGGACAUUUUUGAUUGUCACAACUUGGAAAGGAAGAAGUGGUGCUAUUUGAGGUACCAGUGGAUGCUGCCCCCACAACAAAGCAUUAUCUGGAACAAAAUGUCAAUAGUGCUGAGGUCGAGGCACCCUGAUAUUUUUCAAGAACCAUCUGAAAACCUAAAAUGGGACCAAGUGAACACUAGGGGUCAGGAAGAAGACAUGAACUGUUACUUUCUAAAUAAUUUUCAAACUGUUAAAGAGUUCCACAUUGAUGCCGAAACUUUUUGUGUGUGCAUUGGAGGAAGCAAGUAAAUAUAUUGAUGUUAUAGGGAAUCAAGGCUUUUCAUUGUGGGAAAAGGGAGAUAUAAAUAUGAAAUGGAACAAGGAGUCCCUGGGUGGUGCAAACAGUUAAUGCACUCGGCUGCUAACCAAAAGUUUGGAGGUUCAAGUCCACCCAGAGGUGUCUCAGAAGAAAGGCCUAGUGAUCGACUUCUGAGACAUUAGUUGUUGAAAACCCUGUGGAGCACAGGUCUACUCUGACACAUGUGGGAUCAUGGAUAAAGAAGAGGAAAGGACGAUCCACCUGGAAGAUUUCAGGAUUUUCCACUUGGCCUGUUGGGUCAAUAAGUGCUAACAUGGAAUCAUCUUCAGUAACCUCUAGAAUGGCCUUAUGGAUUAUCUUGGAGACCACGAGGCCUCCUCCUGCCGCUAUGCCAGACAAGUUAGCCACCGAGGGGUCCAAGAUAUCAGUCAUUCCCAAUGCCGCCAAUAUGGGAGUGAGGUCUUCCUGGCACCCUUCCAGCCUGAGCCGGGGCAGGUGCAGAUCCACAGCCGUGUCUUCCAUGUUGGCUGAGCUGAUCCAGGUUUUUAGUUUCUCAUAAGUGAUUUCUCUGGUGACCUAUGAAAAGAAAGCAGGAAGGAAAAUGCAAGCGAAUUUUAUUUAGAAAAUAAAGUAUACUAAAAUGGAAGAUAAACUAAGGGCUGGAGGUGAGGCUAUGAAUAGGUAAAGCAACUUCUCACUGCCAUUUGGAAAGCAGAUUCUAAGCAUUGUGUCUGAUACAUCAGAGCAAGUGGGGAAAAUGCAGUGUGUGCAAGAAUCGAAGCCCAGAGCAUAGAGCCUUGGAGUCCAAAAGUCAUUUGUAAAAAAACAAAAAUAAUUACCAUGGGGAAUUUCUAUUUUUCUUCCUCUAUGAAAAAAAAAAAAAAUGCCUCUAUAAAUUGUACAACUUAUAUAUUAUAAUUGUAUACUUUAUAUAAAUGCCUCCCUUUUCCAUUGGUCACAGUAAAAGAUGCCUUUGGAACCUGAGAUCCUCCAACUCUGACAACAUGAAUUAAAUUUUAGACAGACCAAAAUAAUUUCCUACUGCAACUCAACCCAAAAUUCUCAUUAGUCAGAUAUUCAUAGAGAUGGAAUUUAUAUGAAAGUAACAUUUAUAGAUCAUUGUUGUGGUUGUUAGUUGCUCUUGAGUUUGCUCCAAUUCAUGGUGACCCCAUAUACAAAAGAACAAAACAUUGCUCAGUUCUGUGCCGUCUUCAUGAUCAUUAGCAUGUUUGAGUCCAUUGUUGCAGCGAUUGUACACUGCCUUCCAGCCCAGAGGGCCCAUCUUCUAGCGCUAUAUCAGACAACAUUUGUUGUGAUCCAUAAGACUAAUUUUUGAAACUAGAUCACUAGACCUUUCUUCCUAGUCUGUCUUAGUUUGGAGGCUCAGCUGAAACCUGUCCACCAUGGUUGAUCCUGCUGGUACUUGAAAUACAGGUGGCAUAGCUCCCAGCAUCAUAGCAACAUGUAAACCAGCACGCCACAGUACCACAAACUGAUAGACAGGUGGUGAUUUCUAGAUCAUUAGAACCAAAUGAUCUUCAAUUUGAUAGAAACCUUGGAGGAUUCUUUUCUGCAGUAUUUGUAACACCCAUGAAGCAUCUUCCCGAGAUGUUCUCAGGCUGGUGACCACUUCAAAAUGAAACAACCUGGAUCCCUGGUUGCACAGCUCAGCUUGCAAGAAAGGCCUGCCCCAUACUGAGCAGAAAUCUGCUUCCCUGUAAUUUCUACCUGUUAGUUUUAGUUUUUGGAGCCCUGGUAGUGCAAUGGUUAAGCACUUGGCUGCAAACUGAAAAGUCAGCUGUUCAAACCCACCCAGCAACUCUGUGGGAGAAAAGACCUGGUGCUCCGUUCCCAUAAAUAUUACAGCCUAGGAAAGCCUAGUUCUAGUCUGUCACAUAGGGUCGCUAUGAGUCAGAAUCGACUGAACUGCACACAACAACAACAGUUUUAAUUCUCAGUCUGGGAGCCAUACAAAAUCAGUCCAUUCCUUUUUCCAUAUGACAAACAAAUAUUUUAAUAAAAUCAGCAUAUUCUCAAAGUCACUUCUUUUUUCAUCAACCAUUUUCCACACCACAUCUUUUCUGGCUUCUCCUCAUUCCAGUUGUCUCUGGUUGCAGGGACUUAUGUAGAUUAUUUUGGGGACAGAAUCUAUUGGGAGGCAGGCAUCCCAGAUACCAACCAAUGUAAACCUCAAGGAAAAAAAUCAUUUUGUGUGGGGUUGACAUUCACCAUAUUCCAAUGAGUAACCAUCUUCAACUCUUCAUCAUUGAAGAAACCGGGGAUGACUGUCCCCCAUCCACAGUGGUGAAGAAAUGUUAAGCAUUCUAACAUGAGAAAAUUAGGUGGCUAUGAAGAUCUAGACUACUUUCCCCAACUCCUUCCUCAUUAAGGUCAUUACAGCAAGCUGUAAAUGCACUUCAGAGACAUUUUUCAGAGCUCUUAAUAUUUUUUUUUAGUGUCACAUUUUUAUGACCCAGGUCAAGCCUAUUAAAUUUCAGCCACAAAGUAUUGAUACGGUAACUAUGUACAUGGUCUUAGAUGGAUUCCAGUUCAUUGACUUUUCAUAAGAUCAUAAAAUUUAAGAGCUAGAAAGAAUCCUAGAAAUCAUUUACUUUGCCCCUCAUUAAAGCCCUUCAUUGCAUGGAUAAAAUAACUGAGGUCUGGAGAGGUUGAAUGGCUACCUGUUGUCCUGUAGUGAGUUUGUAGCAAAAUUAUGGUUAAAUUGCAACUGCUACAAAUUAUGGUUUAGUUCUAAUUCUGUUACCCACCCAUUCAGUGUUUUUCACACUGUCUAGCCAUGGAAAGGGGCCCUAGUGGCAUGAUGGUUAAGCACUCAGGCGCCAACCGAAAGGUUGGGUGUUCGAAUCCACCAGCUAUUCCAUGGGAGAAAGACCUGGCGAUCUGCUUCCACAAAGAUUAAAGCCUAGGCAACCCUAUGCAGGAGUUUCUACUCUGUCACAUAAGGUUGCUAUGAGUCAGAAUUGACUCAAUGGCACACAACAACAGUCAUGGAAAAGGAAGAUAAUAAUAAUUAAUAUUAAUUAGCAAUAAUAACUCAAAUCUCACUUUGUUAGAGAGGUUUUCCAUGAUCAUCCUUAUAAAAUAGAUGUGCCCCAAGCCUAUCACUCUCUACCUCAUUUACAUAUUUUAUUUUUCUUCAUAAAAAUAUAA
Molecule: long non-coding RNA, 3819 nt
Organism: Loxodonta africana (African savanna elephant)
Lineage: Eukaryota; Metazoa; Chordata; Mammalia; Proboscidea; Elephantidae
Exons: 3
Source: RefSeq, a predicted model, not a curated record